AGAGUUUGAUCCUGGCUCAGAACGUACGCUGGCGGCACGCCUAACACAUGCAAGUCGAACGAAGUAGCAAUACUUAGUGGCAGACGGGUGAGUAAAAUGUAGGUAUCUGCCCUUUGGCCUGGAAUAACACGAGGAAACUUGUGCUAAUACCGGAUAAGUCUUUACGGAGAAAGCUUUAUGCACCAUUGGAUGAGCCUGCACUUGAUUAGUUUGUUGGUGGGGUAAUGGCCUACCAAGACUGUGAUCAAUAGCUGAUUUGAGAGGAUGAUCAGCCACAUUGGGACUGAGACACGGCCCAAACUCCUACGGGAGGCAGCAGUGGGGAAUCUUGCACAAUGGAGGAAACUCUGAUGCAGCGAUGCCGCGUGAGUGAAGAAGGCCCUUGGGUUGUAAAGCUCUUUCGUCGGGGAAGAAAAUGACUGUACCCGAAUAAGAAGGUCCGGCUAACUUCGUGCCAGCAGCCGCGGUAAUACGAAGGGACCUAGCGUAGUUCGGAAUUACUGGGCUUAAAGAGUUCGUAGGUGGUUAAAAAAGUUGGUGGUGAAAUCCCAGAGCUUAACUCUGGAACUGCCAUCAAAACUUUUUAGCUAGAGUAUGAUAGAGGAAAGCAGAGUUUCUAGUGUAGAGGUGAAAUUCGUAGAUAUUAGAAAGAAUACCAAUUGCGAAGGCAGCUUUCUGGAUCAUUACUGACACUGAGGAACGAAAGCAUGGGUAGCGAAGAGGAUUAGAUACCCUCGUAGUCCAUGCCGUAAACGAUGUGUGUUAGACGUUGGAAAUUUAUUUUCAGUGUCGCAGCGAAAGCGAUAAACACACCGCCUGGGGAGUACGACCGCAAGGUUAAAACUCAAAUGAAUUGACGGGGACCCGCACAAGUAGUGGAGCAUGUGGUUUAAUUCGAAGAUACGCGCAGAACCUUACCAACACUUGACAUGUUCGUCGCGACUUUAAGAGAUUAAAGUUUUCGGUUCGGCCGGACGAAACACAGGUGCUGCAUGGCUGUCGUCAGCUCGUGUCGUGAGAUGUUGGGUUAAGUCCCGCAACGAGCGCAACCCUCACUUUUAGUUGCCAUCAUUUAGUUGGGCACUCUGAAAGAACUGCCAGUGAUAAGCUGGAGGAAGGUGGGGAUGACGUCAAGUCCUCAUGGCCCUUACGUGUUGGGCUACACACGUGCUACAAUGGUAUCUACAACAGGAAGCAAGACUGCGAAGUUAAGCAAAUCCUUAAAAGAUACCUCAGUUCGGAUUGCACUCUGCAACUCGAGUGCAUGAAGCUGGAAUUACUAGUAAUCGUGGAUCAGCGUGCCACGGUGAAUGCGUUCCCGGGUCUUGUACACACCGCCCGU
This 1342-nucleotide ribosomal RNA is filed under the name uncultured bacterium. RNAcentral describes it as "bacterial SSU rRNA". It matches the Rfam family "Bacterial small subunit ribosomal RNA". The record is from RNAcentral.